AGAGUUUGGGUGCCAGCGGAGGGGGUAGGAGGGAGGUGUCAAGGGUGGUUCGCAUGCAUGGGGCUGACAGGGUGUGUAGGCGGUUUGGUAAGCCGUCUGUGAAGGCUUGGGGCCCAAGCCGUAAAGCGCAUGGGGUGCGUGCAGGCUAGGUGGUGGGAGAGGAGCGGGGAAUGCCCGGGGGAGCGGGGAAAUGCGUAGAGAUCGGGAGGAAGGCCGGUGGCGAAGGCGGCGCUCUGGAACAUACCUGACGCUGAGACACGAAAGCGUGGGGAGCAAACAGGAUUAGAUACCCGAGUAGUC
Molecule: ribosomal RNA, 300 nt
Filed under: uncultured Halobellus sp.
Lineage: Archaea; Methanobacteriati; Methanobacteriota; Halobacteria; Halobacteriales; Haloferacaceae
Description: bacterial SSU rRNA
Rfam family: Bacterial small subunit ribosomal RNA (bases 57-300)
Source: RNAcentral